GGGUCAGUAGGUUGGUCGUGCCACCGGUACGUACUGGUCUCACUGACUCCUCCUUCCUGAAGAACCGUAAUGCCAUUAAUUCGGUGUUGCGGGGAAACAGGACUGUUACUUUGAAAAAAUUAGAGUGUUUAAAGCAAGCUAACGCUUGAAUACAUUAGCAUGGAAUAAUGAAAUAGGACGAUCGAUCCUAUUUUGUUGGUUUCUAGGAUUGACGUA
This 216-nucleotide ribosomal RNA is filed under the name Glomeromycotina sp. Its description in RNAcentral is "partial small subunit ribosomal RNA". The stretch from base 87 to 216 matches the Rfam family "Eukaryotic small subunit ribosomal RNA", at positions 733 to 864 of the family's 1831-position model. Lineage: Eukaryota; Fungi; Glomeromycota. The record is from RNAcentral.